AUUGAACGUUGGCGGCAGGCCUAACACAUGCAAGUCGAACGGUAACAGGAAGAAGCUUGCUUCUUUGCUGACGAGUGGCGGACGGGUGAGUAAUGUCUGGGAAACUGCCUGAUGGAGGGGGAUAACUACUGGAAACGGUAGCUAAUACCGCAUAACGUCGCAAGACCAAAGAGGGGGACCUUCGGGCCUCUUGCCAUCGGAUGUGCCCAGAUGGGAUUAGCUAGUAGGUGGGGUAACGGCUCACCUAGGCGACGAUCCCUAGCUGGUCUGAGAGGAUGACCAGCCACACUGGAACUGAGACACGGUCCAGACUCCUACGGGAGGCAGCAGUGGGGAAUAUUGCACAAUGGGCGCAAGCCUGAUGCAGCCAUGCCGCGUGUAUGAAGAAGGCCUUCGGGUUGUAAAGUACUUUCAGCGGGGAGGAAGGGAGUAAAGUUAAUACCUUUGCUCAUUGACGUUACCCGCAGAAGAAGCACCGGCUAACUCCGUG
This 490-nucleotide ribosomal RNA is filed under the name uncultured bacterium. RNAcentral describes it as "partial 16S ribosomal RNA". It matches the Rfam family "Bacterial small subunit ribosomal RNA", at positions 30 to 507 of the family's 1533-position model. The record is from RNAcentral.